UAUGUCCCUCCCUAUCUCAGAAGAACUGUAUGUCUGAUGAUGGAUUGAUUGGAGGUUCCUAGUGUCUUCUCGUCCUCUUCUGUAAAAUUGAUCUCUUCUCAUAUAGGUGGUUUUCGACUCCAUGUGGUACUGCUGUCUAUGAUUCCUAGAAGCCACAUUACGUGAAGACUUGUAGCUGUGCUUACUAUCCUCCACAUAGUACAGCUACCUACGGUCCCCAUAGAAUCUUGAAUCUCUACCCUACGCAAUGGACCAUUUUGCCUCCUCCUCAUAAAGUUUUCCCUUACACUUUCCCUGAUAUUAGCGUAUGCUACUCUCCACCUCUUUCUCCCCUGCACCAU
RNAcentral lists this long non-coding RNA (341 nucleotides) under Brassica napus (rape). Its description in RNAcentral is "long non-coding RNA (BNAP_LNC015741)". Lineage: Eukaryota; Viridiplantae; Streptophyta; Magnoliopsida; Brassicales; Brassicaceae. The record is from RNAcentral.